RNAcentral lists this small RNA (102 nucleotides) under Marmota monax (woodchuck). The record is from RNAcentral. Lineage: Eukaryota; Metazoa; Chordata; Mammalia; Rodentia; Sciuridae.
GCCGGGCACAGUGGUGCAUGCCUGUAAUCCCAGCAGCUUGGGAGGCGGAGACAGGAGGAUUGCAAGUUCAAAGCCAGGCACAACUCAGUGAGACUGUCUCUA